This 468-nucleotide ribosomal RNA is filed under the name uncultured bacterium. RNAcentral describes it as "partial 16S ribosomal RNA". It matches the Rfam family "Bacterial small subunit ribosomal RNA", at positions 28 to 507 of the family's 1533-position model. The record is from RNAcentral.
GACGAACGCUGGCGGCGUGCUUAACACAUGCAAGUCGAACGGAAAGGCCCUGCUUUUGUGGGGUGCUCGAGUAGCGAACGGGUGAGUAACACGUGAGUAACCUGCCCUUGACUUUGGGAUAACUUCAGGAAACUGGGGCUAAUACCGGAUAGGAACUCCUGCUGCAUGGUGGGGGUUGGAAAGUUUCGGCGGUUGGGGAUGGACUCGCGGCUUAUCAGCUUGUUGGUGGGGUAGUGGCUUACCAAGGCUUUGACGGGUAGCCGGCCUGAGAGGGUGACCGGCCACAUUGGGACUGAGAUACGGCCCAGACUCCUACGGGAGGCAGCAGUGGGGAAUAUUGCACAAUGGGCGGAAGCCUGAUGCAGCAACGCCGCGUGCGGGAUGACGGCCUUCGGGUUGUAAACCGCUUUCGCCUGUGACGAAGCGUGAGUGACGGUAAUGGGUAAAGAAGCACCGGCUAACUACGUG